Molecule: unclassified non-coding RNA, 170 nt
Filed under: rhizosphere metagenome
Description: partial ribosomal RNA internal transcribed spacer region
Source: RNAcentral
GUAGGUGAACCUGCGGAAGGAUCAUUACCGAGUUGGGGUCCCUCGGGGCCCGAUCUCCAACCCUUUGUCUAUUCCACCGCGUCGCUUCGGCGGGCCCGCGCCCACCGAUCGCGACCGCAGUCUUGAAACACAACCACACAAAACUUUCAACAACGGAUCUCUUGGCUCUG